Molecule: non-coding RNA, 98 nt
Organism: Acanthosepion pharaonis
Lineage: Eukaryota; Metazoa; Mollusca; Cephalopoda; Sepiida; Sepiidae
Source: the annotation of a GenBank genome assembly
GUUGAAACACUGGUUCUCAUACGACCAUCGAAGUUAAGCAUCGUCGAUCCUGGUCAGUACCAAAAUGAGUGACCGCUUGGAAAUGUCAGGUGCUGUAA